This 497-nucleotide ribosomal RNA is filed under the name uncultured bacterium. RNAcentral's name for it is "partial 16S ribosomal RNA". It matches the Rfam family "Bacterial small subunit ribosomal RNA", at positions 28 to 507 of the family's 1533-position model. The record is from RNAcentral.
GAUGAACGCUGGCGGCGUGCCUAAUACAUGCAAGUCGAGCGAACAGACGAGGAGCUUGCUCCUCUGACGUUAGCGGCGGAUGGGUGAGUAACACGUGGAUAACCUACCUAUAAGACUGGGAUAACUUCGGGAAACCGGAGCUAAUACCGGAUAAUAUAUUGAACCGCAUGGUUCAAUAGUGAAAGACGGCUUUGCUGUCACUUAUAGAUGGAUCCGCGCCGCAUUAGCUAGUUGGUAAGGUAACGGCUUACCAAGGCAACGAUGCGUAGCCGACCUGAGAGGGUGAUCGGCCACACUGGAACUGAGACACGGUCCAGACUCCUACGGGAGGCAGCAGUAGGGAAUCUUCCGCAAUGGGCGAAAGCCUGACGGAGCAACGCCGCGUGAGUGAUGAAGGUCUUCGGAUCGUAAAACUCUGUUAUUAGGGAAGAACAAAUGUGUAAGUAACUAUGCACGUCUUGACGGUACCUAAUCAGAAAGCCACGGCUAACUACGUG